RNAcentral lists this ribosomal RNA (253 nucleotides) under uncultured bacterium. RNAcentral describes it as "partial 16S ribosomal RNA". It matches the Rfam family "Bacterial small subunit ribosomal RNA", at positions 524 to 776 of the family's 1533-position model. The record is from RNAcentral.
UACGUAUGGUGCAAGCGUUAUCUGGAAUGACUGGGUGUAAAGGGAGCGUAGACGGUUGUACAAGUCUGAUGUGAAAGCCCACGGCUCAACUGUGGGAGUGCAUUGGAAACUGUAGAACUAGAGUAUCGGAGAGGCAAGUGGAAUUCCUAGUGUAGCGGUGAAAUGCGUAGAUAUUAGGAGGAACACCAGUGGCGAAGGCGGCUUGCUGGACGAAAACUGACGUUGAGGCUCGAAAGCGUGGGGAGCAAACAGG